This is a long non-coding RNA of Gallus gallus (chicken), 8816 nucleotides long. RefSeq lists it as uncharacterized. Lineage: Eukaryota; Metazoa; Chordata; Aves; Galliformes; Phasianidae. The transcript has 6 exons. The record is from RefSeq and is a predicted model, not a curated record.
CUGGAACCGUCUAUGAAAGUCAACCCAAGCACCUCUUCCAACACCUGGGGCUACGGGUGACCUUCUAGGCUUUGCUGUUACACCAUUUCAGGAGCCCUCCUUCCCCCUGGGGCUGGCUCUGCUUGGAAGCGGCGGAGGCCUGUGGUGUUGCCAAGUCCGUUGCUGCAGACCUCUUUGUUCCCCAAGAGAAUGCGUAAAGGCUCUUUUUGAUCCCACUGCACAUCGCUGGGCUCUGCUGACCUCCAGACAUGGAGAGCACCACGAGGAGGAAAAGGACUCAGCACGUGACUGGGCUUUGCGGCCAGCUCUGGACCACAAGCUCCUUGCCCAGAUAUCUUGCUGAUAUCCCUCGCCAUAUGGGAUGUGUGUGGUGCUGCUUCCUCCUGGCUGUCACUCGUGGGGUUCUGCCCCGGCUCCGAAGCUCCGUGCGUGGGAACAGCUCCUGGCUGGGGCUCAUCUCUGUCUGCAGGAGCUGCUCGGCCUCUUUCAGCACAUCUCAGUCUGUUUGGAGACAGUUCCCACAAGCAUCUCUUCUCCAGGUGUAGCGGCUUUCUCUCCCCCGUGUUUCAGCCGUGGUAUCACAUUAUUUAUGGUUUCCUGCCUGUUGGCUGGUUUGGAAGUCAGCAAUUCCCCGAGAUGAAGUUGUACGAAGUUGGCUGGUGCUGAAUUUGCAUUUUUUUUUUCCCAGAAGAGAGAGAGAUCGAGGGAAAAAACGUCACCGUGCUGCAUCACCGGGCACUCCAUCCCACGGGUCUGCCCAUCCUCACCCCUCCAACGCCAACGCCCCUCAGGUGGUGAUCCCCACGUCCCCGCUCGGACGCGGGAUCACAGCUCCAACUCCCCUUCCCAGCACAUCAUCAACAUGUUGUUUCCAGGGUCAUAAAUUUGCACGGUGAUGAGACACAACCAGAUGUUCGGCUACGUGAAGCGACUGGCGAAGCAGCCUGCCUGGCGCAGCCCCCGCCGCCGGAGCCAGCCGCCUGCUAAUGAGAAGCAGGUCUCUCGCCUCGCGCCGGGCCAGCACAGACGGGGAGCGUCCCCGGGAGCACCUGCAGAGCUGCCAUCCCGACCCCCGGCCUGCUCUCGGCGUCCGGGGAGCGACUACAGGCUCUUUGGUGUCUAUCGGCUUCUGGCGGCCAUCUGGAAAGCGAGUGCGGCCUAGCGCAGAGGGGACGUUCAAGGCCGCGGUCCUUCUUGCUAGCAAGGAAGCCGGUCACGAUGCAGUGUGAUGCUUUGUCGUGUACAAAUACUUCUGAGACGCAUGUUCUGUAUGGAUGAGCAGUUCGGUUCUUGAUGGAGAGGCCCACGGGGAUGUGAGGUCUUAGCUCAGGAUGCUGAGGCAGUACCCUCUGCCGGGAGCUGGUGUUGACUCGAGAUGCCCGUUUCCAUGACUUUGAAUGCCUGCGUCCCCUGAGUGGGUUGAAAAGUGCUGAAAAGGGAACGUGGGCUGCGGUGGUCCUCAGGAUGGCUUUCGGCCAAUGCGUGGCAGAUGCUACCCCUGCAACAUGCUUGUGAUGUUUUGGGAUGUGCACUAAACAUCUGGGAAACACACCCUGAUGGCAGUCCCUGGGCACAACCAUCAUGGGGAGGCUUUCUCUCUGUGGUCUUCUUCUGGAAGCCUCUGGAGGUCCCAGGGACAAGCCUGAGCCCCGUGUGAGGCUGGCACGGCUCCAUCGCUGCCUCGUGGCAUCAAACCAGCCCUUGCAUCACAGGGUGAGUCUAGGAUGAAGGAUGGUCCCAUGUGAAGGUCUGGUGUUGGUGCCUCUCCUCUGUUUCUUUGUUCUUCCCUGGAUCACAUGGGCAGUGAUGGCACCUCCUCAUACACCUACAUGCACUCUCCCAUCGCCUGGGCACAGACGAGUGAUAGGAGUGUGUACGUGGGUGGGCUGCACAGAAGACAGAGGACCUAUUUUGAAGAAAAAGAAUAAGGAGCAUGUUGGUACAAGGCUCCAGAGCUGCAAGUUGAUCCUGGGUGGUCACUCUUUGCUUGGAGGUUCAGGAACAGCCUCCAGAUUAGAAGAGGAGGAGAUGGAUCUUGAAUAAUGCAGCAAUUGGAGAAACUGGCAUUUUGCUAGACAGCAGACCAAGCAGCUGUGCCUCCCUGCAAGCAUCCCAGACGUGAGCUGCACCUUCCCAGGCACUUCCUUUUGCUCACCAGAGCAUGGGCACCAAGGCACGUCACUUCCUAAAGAGUGGGAAGGUCUGGAGGAAGGGAAGGACCUGCCUUCAGGUACGCAGAUCAUCCCCUGACCUCAUCACCCCCUGAUUUCCCUAAUGAGCCACAGGUGGAAGCGCUGAGAGCAAAACCCAGGUCUCACCGCCAAACCACGCCAAGGGGGCACAGUGUCUUCAUCGUGGCCCCACCAGGGAGCUGUGGCUGUUCCCCAUGGGAUGCCUGUGCCCAUGACAGAGCUGCUGUGCGGCCCUGGUGAAGGUCAAGCAGGGAUCGCUGGCUGCAGUUCAAACCUGGCACCGGGGCUAAAAGGUUGACGCAGUAACUCUGAAGACUGCUAAACAAGAAAUAGACUCCUCUACAAGGGGAAAAAAAAAAAAAAAAAAAAAAAAGUCCCUGGGAGAAGAGAUAUUUCAACCCCUUCUUGAUUUAUGACCUACUAUAGGAUAUUGAGACAUUAUUUACAAUCGAUAUAUGCUCCUGCAGGACUCCCGCCGGAGCCAUAGACCCUGCCUGUUAGAGGCAGACCGGUCAGCUCGCGCCUCCGGAGCGCGGCCGUGUCCUGUUGGAGCGAGCAAGGAGCCGCACGCCGCCGUAUAUCUCUCAGAAAAUGGACCUGGUUACACGUGUCUUUGGGCAGCUGACAAGGGGAUGUAGUUUAGGGCUAAGACAGCAGCUCGGUAGCAGAAAUCAGCCUCGCCGAUAAUGAAAUCUCUUGCACGACGCGCUGAGAGCUCCGCAGCCUUAAAGGUGCAAAAUGGAGUUGUUCCGUUGGCUUGCAAUGGAGUCGGGCCAAUUCUGAAGCGAGCCCUGGAUUUUAUUCUGGGAUUUUAUCUUUAAAGGGGGAUUUGCAAACACUUGAAGGAGGGGAGGGGGGGAAGUUCAUUCAGCGUAAAAUUGCGUCCUGGCCGAAUUCCAGUUUGGGUAAUUACAUUCUCUUUCUGUAGCGGCUGCAGGACAAAGGGCCAUUCAUCACGCUCCAAACUGCUGCAAAGGGCUCCCGUGCUCCUCCGCAGAAGGGGUUGAAACUUUUCUCCCCGUGGUUGAGGCCACUCCAGAGAGUAAUGGAGCUUGGCAGGGUUUUAGGAUGCUUUUGGGUGAGAUAUAGGGGCAAGCGCGUCGUCACGCGCCGCUCGGCCUGCAGCAAAUCUGGAUCUGUAGGAAAGAGAGGUGAAGCGAAGAGCUCUGCGACUGGCUGAGGAGGUUUCUGCUGUGCGUGGAGAGCAUUUUUGGGACAGGUUCCUGAACUGUGAGUGUUUUAGCUGGACCCUUCCUCGUUGCUGAAACAGAGUCUUCCUGCUGCUCUUUGUCUCUUGCUCGUGUUUGCACUUCCAGAGUGUUUGCACACAGAGAUGCACAUGAAGAAAAUGCGUUAAGGAAAAGUUUCCGUGUUGUUGCUGAGGAUGGUUGGAUUUCAGUUUGCACCUGCCAGGAGUCAUUUCCCCUUGGCCUCCCACCUCCCUGGAGGAGCAUCUCCCCUCCAGGAGCAGUGCUGUAUCAUACUCCAUUGCCAUAAGAGGUGACUCCAGGGCCCGCAAUACUGCAAGAGGGUCCCCGGGAGCCAGAGGGGCAACCUGUGCAGGUGUCGGGCAGCCAGAGGCUGCCGAGUCCCCAGGACCAGCAGCUAGAGGGAGAUACGACCUCACGCUCAGGGCCAGCCUCUUCCUGCCGCCGAUGCCUGUCGGAAUGCCAAAGAAAAUCCACUCGCUCUCCAAUGUUUAGGGUCCACGUAAUGAAUGGCCGUAAUGCAGGCUUCAUUACGUGGAAUAAGGAAUUCUCGAGAUGAAAGACUUUGAAAAUGGCUCUUGCUGGAGUUUCUGCCAAAGCGUUUCUUAGUCCCUGUCUCCAUGGGGAAGUUUUAUCAGGUGUAUCAUGAUCAGUGUGCAGGGGUCCAGUUACACCAGGAAGACUGUCUAGACGCUUUAAUUCCAGCACAAAAAGAGCUUUUUUUUUUUCCCCCUUAGCUUAAAUUCAUUUGCAAACAGCCUUCACAACAUCGGCGCUGCUUGAGCAGUGCCAGAAUCUCCCAGAGCAGAGCACGUUUUGAUGUUUGAAUCCCCUCCCUGCCCUGCCCAAACACCGCUCUGCUCCCAUCACAGCCCUGGCUCAGUAGGUGGAGGUGACACAGAGCUCGGCAGAGAGCUCUCAGUCCCCAGGUUUUAUUCUGAGGCUCCCCAGGCUCUUGCCUGAGUCCUGCCAGGUAUCAUCUCCUGUACUUCUUCAUUUCCAGAUGUGUCUUCCUUUGCUGAUUUCUCUUGCGACUCCUCUUUUUCCCUUUGCAGUCCCGACGCUAAGUGUGAAUACCCUUUUCCUCCUUAAGGCUCAAAGCCUUGCUUGAAGGGUUGUUCCACCUGCCUGUCUAAUUAAAAGAAAAACUCUGAAAUCUCCUCCCUGUUCAAGUCUUCAGUCAUGUUGUGCAUGUCAAUAGCGUCCUAGUUCUGCCCUAGUUUUUGUGCAGUUUUCCUGUGAAUUUCAAUAUCCAGGAUCAGUAUGAACUUAAAUGAGCGUCAGAAGCAAGCCCAGGAGCAGGUAGGAGCUUGGGUAUAAGGAGCAGCCCAGUUUGGCCAGUUUGGAGCAGCCAUAGAGCAAUGGCUGACGCGGGAGGAGGGAGUGAGGCUUCAGCUGGUAGUAGUUAAUUAUGUUCCACUGUAAGCUUUGUCCUGCUGCAAAGCAAAAUGGAUCCGAGGACGUCACACAGUUCGCGUUAGGCGAGAAGAUCACAGUGUUACACAUCUUUUUUCCUCCUAACUAUCUGUCUACAUGCUUACUGCAAGUCAGGUUGCCAGGAGUGUAACUGAAUAAUUACCCUGUGCUGCCUUAUGGUAACCUUUGCAAGAAAGUGUUUAGAUCGAGGAACCGUGUGAACUACUCAUUAAUAUCUUAUAGGUCAGAGCUAAGGAUGUUGCAUUGUGAUGAAAUAUGUAUUUCUCCUUAUUUCUUAGGAAAAUGGGCUCCUGAGACAGAGGAAGAUUUAUGGUGAUCUUAAUUAGUUAUUUCCUAGCUUUCAAAAUGUUUGGGUUUCAGCGACGAUAUGAUAGAUAAUUAACUUGUUGUCACGCGGUGACUUUUAAAAUUAAAUGUUUGUCCUCCAUAAUAUUUAAUCUCUGUAUGCAUCACAUGUGUGCCAUAGAACAUAUGCACAGGUAUAUAGAGAGAAAUGCAUGCAUACACAUCCCUGCAGUGUUCCCAUCAUAGCACGAUGCUCACGCCUUAGACGGUGAGCCCAGGGUGUAGCAGCACAGUGCUGCUAAGAGGUGGGGUGUCGUAUUUUCUGCUGAAAUAGGAAGGUCUGAAGGAAGAGAGCUGCAUCCCUCAGUGCUGCAUCCCUCGGGGACAGCAGGGAUCUGGAGAGCAGCUGCUGGGAAGGCAGAGGGAAGGGCAGCACUGACCCCAAAUGGAGGUGGGCCCUCGUGCCUGUAGUGCCUUGUUGUUGCAGGGAGCGUGGUAUCCUUUUUGUUGUUGCUGUCGUUGUUAUCUUUAGGGUUUUUCAUCAAAGCUUUAUAAAUAACAGGCAAAAUCCCCCAGGGAAGACCCUCCCAACCAGCCGCCUGUUGCAGAUCCUCCAGGAAACGGGAGGCGGAGGGAAGGAAGGCUAAAUUUGGUGGCUCUUAUUUUUAACAAGGGCUAUUUCAAUCCAUUUAAACCCACGCAAAAAAAAAAAAAAAAAUGCAGAGCCAUGGGAAACUUCUGCUGGUGCCGGAGGAGCCUGGUAAGGUCUGCAACAUAGCCAAGGGGAUCACGGGGAUGGGGAGCUGGGAGAUGCAGUGAGGUGCUCAAGGCUUUGCACAAGCAAAGGCUUUCCUCAAGCAAAGCCAAGAAAUGAGCUUGCGUCCCUCAAAGUCUAGGCGUGAAAGCUGCUUUUAUUUUGCUUUAUGGAAAACUCCACCAUGAGCUUGCUCCCCUCGGCUGGCCCUUGCAGGAGCUGGCCAUUCACAGCACUGGACUUGGAGGCACAUGCAGUGGCUUGGCAGCAUCCAUCCGUGCUCCCCUGGCACUCCUCUGAGAGUGAAGGUGUUCACCUUGGUGUCCUGGCCUCCUGUCAGGGUAAGUCAUUACAUUCAGCCUCCAUAACCGAGUCCACUGCCCCCAGGCUGCACAGUGCCCAGCGUGCCCCAACCCAGCACCACAGUGCAGGAGCCUGGGUGGUAACCAGGCACACAGAGAACACACUCAUCCUAACACUGACGUGUUUCCUGCGCAGACUGCAAGCUGAAGCUGUUGAAUCAGGUUGGGUCCAGGACACAAGCGAUGCAAAAGGUCUCAGCAGGAGGAGGCAUGGUGGCAUGUUCCAGGUCGCCUUGUCAUGGAGUUUGUCACAGGUUGGCUGCUUGGGCUUCAUUUCUGAGGCUGGGGACUGUGAGUCUGAGGACUGCAGGGCCUCCAUUUUGGAGGCUGGUUGGCUGCUGAGCGGUGCGCAGGCCUCACGAGCUGCUCUUUCGCGCCGCUCCUCUGUGUGUGGGAAAGGAUUUCAAGAAACUAUUGACCAAAUGAAACCUCCGUAAUGCUUCUAAAUACUCAAACACAUUAGACAUGCCUGCCCAGCUCAGAGAUAAAUUAGAGCUAUUAUCACUAGAGCCCAGACAAACAAACGGAGGGCUCUCUCCAAACAAGCCAUUCACUCAAGAGACUGGAUUUACAAGGGUCAGGGAAGCAGCGUGAGCUGUAGGCACCUGCUUUCUUCUGAAACCUCUUUAAAUUGGCCAUAUUGACUGGGGCAGAGGGAAGGGAGGGAGCACUGCUCUGCCCUUUGGGGUGUGGCGAUCCCAUCCGUGCGCGGCACCGUGAUGUACUGCUGGCAUUCUGCUCUCUGUCUGCAAUUAAAAGCUGCAAAUCCGACCCUAAUCCAUUUUGUUUUUCUCCCAGAUGUGGUUGGGAGAGUGAGGGGCUUGAGAACGUCAGAGAUGCUGAGGCUGUUUGCUCUGCUCUGCUCUUGGGUUUUUGCUUCUGCUCCUACGGAGGGGUGGGAGCUGCGCUGGUGGUAAGGUGGCGAUGGGAGAGGUCAGAUCAAAUCAGCAUCUUGGGCAUCACUGAGACUGCCUGAAAGGGUAAACAGAAGCUGCAGUGUGUAUUUUGGGCUUGGUUUCAUGUGGAGGAGGGAGGAAGGAGCAGACACAAAGAAUAAAGGGAAGAAAAGAGAGCAUUAUCCUGCUGCCUCGAUGCAGGGAGCCUGGUAGCACAGCUAGCCACAAUGGCUGUAGGACUCAGCCCAAAACGUGGCUGGGUGUGUGCAGACAGGCCGUGCUCAGUCCCAAACCCAGCCUUGGUGCAACCAAAGGGAGCUGUGGGCUCAGCAGCACCGCGACCCCAACUGUGCGCUGAGCAUCACAUGGUGGCUGUGAUGGAGAGCACUGCUGUCCUCGGAGGGAUACUCUUGAAGCCAAAGGCUUGGUCCUGAACCUGCAUCUCGUCUUGGAAGACAUCCAGUCUCCGUGUGCGACCUCUGGCCAUUUCCCUUGGUAACCAGACCUGGUGAUGAACUACCCUCGCUGUUCAAAAUUGUCUUUUAUUUCCCAUUCAAGGUUCCCUCACUCAGUGUUGUCAGCUCCCGCUAUUUAUUUUGGGUUGCUCUGCUUACUGUGCCUUUUACCUGCGAGCCUAACAAUCAUGCCAGUCUCAGCUAUUUUCACUCUCUGGGUAUCUGGGCUCAAGUCACGACGAAGAUUUCCUCUGACUGCUGAGCAGACAGAGCCCUUUCAGCCUUUUGCAGGGUUGAGCACAGGCGAAGCAGGAGCUGUGCUUACCACUGCCUCGAGCAUCUCCCAGCGCAUGGGAUUUUAUUUAAAGUCCCAGCCUCUGGACUCGCACCAUUACAAGGACUUGAUUUUGCAGAGGCAUCAAAGCAUCACUCAAAAGGCAAACAGAAAUCAUCAUAUUCGGAGGGAUUUUUUUCGAUUGAGUAAGGAAUUUUGUGAUGUUUUGGUUUAUUGGGAGUUGAAGGGGUGAGGGUGCUGGCUUAGUGACUAAUUAACGAGGCUGCCGGCCCACCUGGGACAUGAUGGGGAUCAGGGGGUCCCCGCUUACGCGUAUGUGGGGGUCCUGCAGGAUCCAAAAUUCCUAUGGCUCUUUCAUCUGUACAUCUCCCUCUGCUGGGCUAAUGCAUUUUGGGAACACCAGGGUUUAGGCUUUGCUCAUCUUCCACUGCUUUGGUCACCUCAGUGUCUCCUGGUGGUGGUAGAUGGUGGCCAGCCCUACGUGGCCAGAACAUUCCCAGAGCUGGAACUGGUGACUGCACAGGCUUCGUGUGACAGAAAAGCUGCAAACAGAAAAACUUGAAAGGGAAAUGGUAGUAAGGGCUUGGAAUGAGUGGAAAAGGAUGUGCCGUGGACUGGCCUGGAGGUCAGAGGUUGGGGACAGUGGUGCUGGCACGUUUGGGAUAACUAACGGGUCCUCUGAAAUGAACCAUCGAAUCAUAGAAUGGCCUGGGUUGAAAAGGACCACAAUGAUCAUCGAGUUUCAACCCCUCUGCUAUGUGCAGGGUCGCCAACCACCAGACCAGGCUGCCCAGAGCCACAUCCAGCCUGGACCAAGAGUGUUUUGAACUGGCACAGCAAGAUGCCUUCUUUAAAAAUAGUGAAACAAAGUGUUCCAUCUUUCUUCUUCCCUCUCCUCGCAUGUCUUUCCAGGAAAAAAAAAAAAAAAAAAA